UGCAAUGAAACCAUUUUUGCCACCUAAACAACAAAAGUUUCUGACCUUGUAAAAAUGUGUAAAGCACAAACACCAAAGCUGAAAUAAUACAUGUUCUCUGCUUGGUCACGUGACCACACUGUUUUAAUAAAAAACCUAAAGUUCAGUCUUUAGAAAAACAUCAAAAACAAGUUGAUAACCACUUUGUCCCUAAAAGAUCUUACAGUUCUGACUGAUUAUGUUUCAUGUAGAUUUUUACUUAAUAUUUUUUUUUAAAAAGAGCACAAUUUAAGAAAACACUUUUGCAUUUUUUUCUUUGUGGUUAAUAACAAAAAAAAUAGCCAAAGUGCCCAGAAGAUGCGCUCCAGAAUGACUUGUGACCGUCUGGGUUUCGGACUCACCGCCCUGCUGACCGUCAGAAACCUUCUUCCGUGUACUUUGCUUGUUGGAGUCCUGUCUGCUCAGGACCUCGGACAGCGACUGGCGCGAGCUUUGCCGCGCGGUCUGGCUGGACGCGUUGAAGCACGCGCCUCUCUUCCUGGUUCGGUCCGACUCCGGCGCGGACUGGCUCCUCUCCGGGUCAUGCUUGUCGGGCUCGGAGCCCACUUUCACUAAGGCGUUCCGGGUUCUGGUGAAGGCGGAGGUGACCGAGCCCAUCCCGGAAGCCCUGAGCUGAAGAAGUCUGGGCAGGAACUAGCGCGCGCCCUCCGAGCUCACCUGUCGUCUUCCUUUGUACCUGUUGGAACCGGGCGGCUCUGCUCGCCAUCAAAAACGCGCAGUUCGUUCAUCACCGGCAAGUGUUCAGCUGCAAACCGGGAAACAGGUGGAAUGUCGGAGUUUUAGGGAAGCACCCCCUCCCCCCGUGUUUCCUCCAGCUGACACGUCACGUGGGGAAAGUUGCCCCGUCAACAAACGUGCCUCUCCCGGGAAAAUGACGGGUCCUCCAAAAUCCGUUACCGUAUUUCACCGACAGGUGUCAGGAAAAAACCCCUCUGCUUGAUGAAGUCACGCAGCAGGAGGAGGGCCCACGGGGGAGUGAUCCCACGUCAUCACUUUGAGCUGGAUCCAAACAGGACCUCUGGGAGGAGUCCCCGCCACCAGGCGAUCACCUGCGAAACCCAGCUCCAAAGUGGUGCCCCGGUGACGCCGAUCCGGGUGACAAAACUCAAUCUUGUUGAUUUCUACUCAUAGAGGGGGGUCUAAACCGCUCUUUGUCUGGGUCAUCACUAAGGAGCUGUCUGCCAUAGGACACCCCACCAUGAGAAUGAACCCCUGGCAGCUCAGCUCCUGGGAUAGCAGGAGCUCUUCAACCGUUCCACCACGUCAAGGGGGCAGUCAGGAGGCGGCUCAGGCAUCGGGUCCCGAUGCUUUCUGGACACCCCCCCUGGGAAGGUGUUUCGGGCAUGUCCCACUGUGUGGAGGUCCCGGGGAGGAAGCGGUCGGGGAGAGGGAAUCUGGGCAUCUUUGCUCCGACUGCUGCCCCCAUGAUCCAUUUCCAAAUGAGAGGAUGGAGCGGCAAAAAGUGUUCCUCUAAACCCAGACAAUCUUAUUUCCCUUUUAACUAAUGGAAAUUAAUACAAAUGAAAGGUUGUGUCCAUAAAGUGUAAUAAAACAUCUCAGAGUUA
Molecule: long non-coding RNA, 1604 nt
Organism: Oryzias latipes (Japanese medaka)
Lineage: Eukaryota; Metazoa; Chordata; Actinopteri; Beloniformes; Adrianichthyidae
Source: RefSeq, a predicted model, not a curated record